RNAcentral lists this long non-coding RNA (1275 nucleotides) under Delphinapterus leucas (beluga whale). Its description in RNAcentral is "lncRNA (ENSDLEG00000020061.1)". Lineage: Eukaryota; Metazoa; Chordata; Mammalia; Artiodactyla; Monodontidae. The record is from RNAcentral.
UUGGCUGUGGCUACGGCGGGGGCGGGCCCAAGCAGAGGGCGGUGGAUUCAAGAUGGCGGCGGCCAAGGGGCGGCUUCCAGCCCAGUCGGCGGGAAGGGCAAGAGUGCGGCGGUAGCGGUCCCCUCCUGGCCGCGUCCGCUCCUGGCAGGGGGCGGUGGCAGGCACCGGAGCCCGCCCUGUGGAGCCCACGCCGGGACAGCGAGGGGGAGGAGGCGCUGCCGUUUACCUUCGCUCUCCCGGCCUCCACUUUUCUGCGCCGCUGCUCUUGCUCAUCUUCUUCCAUCUUACUCCGGGGCUCUUCGCAGGUCGCGGGGAGGUGAAGGGGCCGAUGCGCUGCCGCCUUCGCUCUAUUUACACUCCCUCCCCAUCGCCUGGGCUCACCCUCCCCCCGCGACAACUGUCACGCAGACGUGGGCCCGCCCCGCGUUCGGCCCCGCCCCGGGGCGUGCGGCCCCGCCCCGGGGCGUGCACCCCCGGCCUGCGGCCAAUCAGGGGCCGCGGUCCUGCCCUCGCGCACGCGCGUUCAGGGCGGUGCCCUCAAGGAGGCGCGGCCCGGCGGAGCUCCGCCCCUGCGUCCGUUCCUCCGAUUGGCGCAUAGACGCUCCCGCCUCUUCGGGCAGGACCAUUGAGCGGGGCGCGGCAGCCUCGGCGCUCUCUGUGGUUGGUCGGUUUGAAGGACCCCGCGCACGUGGGUCGUCGGGCCCGGCUGGGACUGGCGCGGAGGCCGGUUCGCGUUCCCGCGAGGUUGAGGCCGCCCUGGGGGGAGUCUGCGCCGGUGUCCAGUUGAGUCAAGCUUCGCGAGUCUCCGGGGACAGCCCAGGAGGCCGGGCCCCACUGCAUGCGUGCGCCAGCUCAGGGCUGCCCCUAAAAUCGCUCCGGGUUGUGGCCGUGCCCGGGGGUGGCAGAACCCAAACUUUCGUCUCCAGGGGUCCUUUCGGCGACCGGGAUGGUGGCCCUGUUCGUGUCACGAUCGCAGACAGCCAGCAAAAUCACUUGAUUCCGUUCCUAGGAGUCCCUUCUUUGGGUCCCGCUGGUGCCUGGACCCACAGAACCGGAAUGCCGGGGGCGGCCAGAGUUAGUCAGUGGGAAUCGGGGCCGGCAUCCCCAACCCACGGAGCCCAGAGCUACAGGGACAGGAAGCCACCGGCGGUGCUCCCACUCCUGGACCCAUGGAUUCUUCCCACUGGGGAUACAGUGCCAUAUCGAGGGCUCUGGUUUAAUGCGUCUGCCCCCAGCUUGCACAGUCAAGGGUCCAGUCUGGCACCGCUGCCAUAA